This is a long non-coding RNA of Oxyura jamaicensis (ruddy duck), 1354 nucleotides long. RefSeq lists it as uncharacterized. The transcript has 2 exons. The record is from RefSeq and is a predicted model, not a curated record. NCBI's taxonomy places the organism in Eukaryota, Metazoa, Chordata, Aves, Anseriformes, Anatidae.
UCAAGAACACUUAUGUGCAUAACUGAUGCUUAGCACUGUUUUUCCUCCCUGUGGCUGAGGUCUCUGAGCCCACCUGUGAUGGAGUGCCAGUCCUUCAGCAGGCAGACAUGGCAGGCAGUGCCUCCUGCCAGGUCCCCACACUGCUCUCUGAGGACUCACACCACUGUGCCUGGAGCCCGGUACUAGCACAGUGCUUGCGGUGGGAGCAGCAAGUGUGGUUUCCCCCCCCAAAACCCUGACAUUUCAAGAUUUGGUUUUGUUUGGAUUCAGAAUGAACCCAAAGCACAGAACUUCUCCUGCCGGCAUUUUUUUGGGGGGGAUGGGGGGGUUGGAUGCAACGCCCAGGCACAGGGAAUUCCUGGGAACGCUGACUUCACGCUACUCCUCUUGCUGCUCUGUCCUCCGGCCAAGGCGCAGGCCAGCCAUGGGGGCCGAGGUUCUCAUGGAGCGGUGAGCGGAGGCCUGGGGCUUGCAGACUCUCUGGGCUCCUGGGCUGCUGCCCGUGCCCCAGGCAGCCGCUCAGGAGCUGGGGGAGGUGGAGGAUGGCCAGGCAGCAGGUCUGGCAGUUUCUUGGCAGAGUCUGACUACAAUCAAACCGUCUCCACAAAACAUCGCGAUGAGCCAGCACAUUCCAAUGGGGAAAUGUCUUGUCUAAGUGUUUCUGACCAACUCUCGUGCGGCGGCUUUCUCACUUUUCCUCCUGGCUGUGUUUCUGAAGGAAAAAGCUCUUCAAGUACACAGCCCUGGCUGGCGAUGCUGCAGGUGGGACUGUGCUGUCUCAGCUCUGGGGUCCCACUCCAGGCCCUUCAUCUAAGCUCUGACACACCUUGGGAGAACCCCACCAGUGCUGUGCUGGGCUGCCCAAGGAGCCCUAAACAGACACGAGGGGAAGAAGGUGUGGGUGCCUUAUGGUUUGAUCAGCCCCACCUUGUAGCUGAGCACUGCAAAGAGCAAACCCUGAGAAGCCAACCACACCAGGCAGCAGGAGACCCCUAGAAGACCCCCUGAGACCUUCAGCACUGCCACGAUGGGGGAAUUGGAUGGGAUGGGGCCAGGAGGAGAGGCACUUUCUGGGCUGAAAGUGGAUUUGCACGGUUGCAUGGAGGAUGCUGUGCCUAGGACGGUGGUCCUGUCUCCUGCCCUCAGCAAACUGACCCUGACCGGGACGUGUGAGGGGAGAUGUGGCCCCCCGCAGAUCCCCGCUCUAGGCAGCUGAUGAGGUGUGACGUGCUGGGGGCCAGUAGCAGCGCGUAGCCUCUCCCUCUGCAGCGCCCUUCCUGUGUGUGCAGCCGGAGUGAAAACACCUGGAGCCAAUUUCCAGCCCCAGGAAAAAAAUAAAAAAAUAAAAAAAAAA